RNAcentral lists this ribosomal RNA (301 nucleotides) under uncultured bacterium. Its description in RNAcentral is "partial 16S ribosomal RNA". It matches the Rfam family "Bacterial small subunit ribosomal RNA", at positions 509 to 808 of the family's 1533-position model. The record is from RNAcentral.
CAGUCGCCGCGGUAAUACAGAGGGUGCGAGCGUUAAUCGGAUUUACUGGGCGUAAAGCGUGCGUAGGCGGCUUUUAAGUCGGAUGUGAAAUCCCUGAGCUUAACUUAGGAAUUGCAUUCGAUACUGGGAAGCUAGAGUAUGGGAGAGGAUGGUAGAAUUCCAGGUGUAGCGGUGAAAUGCGUAGAGAUCUGGAGGAAUACCGAUGGCGAAGGCAGCCAUCUGGCCUAAUACUGACGCUGAGGUACGAAAGCAUGGGGAGCAAACAGGAUUAGAUACCCCAGUAGUCCCUGUCUCUUAUACA